GAGAACGCUGGCGGCGUGCUUAACACAUGCAAGUCGAACGAAAGGACGGGAAGAGCUUGCUCUUUCCGGAAUUGAGUGGCAAACGGGUGAGUAACGCGUGAGCAACCUGCCCUGGAGUGGGGGACAACAGUUGGAAACGACUGCUAAUACCGCAUAAGCGCACAGCUUCGCAUGAAGCAGUGUGAAAAACUCCGGUGGUACAAGAUGGACCCGCGUCUGAUUAGCUGGUUGGUGAGGUUAACGGCCCACCAAGGCGACGAUCAGUAGCCGGCCUGAGAGGGUGAACGGCCACAUUGGGACUGAGACACGGCCCAAACUCCUACGGGAGGCAGCAGUGGGGAAUAUUGCACAAUGGGGGAAACCCUGAUGCAGCAACGCCGCGUGAGUGAAGAAGUAUUUCGGUAUGUAAAGCUCUAUCAGCAGGGAAGAAAAUGACGGUACCUGACUAAGAAGCCCCGGCUAACUACGUG
RNAcentral lists this ribosomal RNA (470 nucleotides) under uncultured bacterium. RNAcentral's name for it is "bacterial SSU rRNA". It matches the Rfam family "Bacterial small subunit ribosomal RNA", at positions 31 to 507 of the family's 1533-position model. The record is from RNAcentral.